RNAcentral lists this ribosomal RNA (336 nucleotides) under Triticum aestivum (bread wheat). RNAcentral describes it as "partial small subunit ribosomal RNA". The record is from RNAcentral. Lineage: Eukaryota; Viridiplantae; Streptophyta; Magnoliopsida; Poales; Poaceae.
AUGCUUCCUGCCCGGGUUGAAGAGCUAAAGAAAUCUGCUGCUAGAACCGGCGCUAUAAACGCCUUAAUCCGGGCAAAAGCGUGGGUGCCGGAUUUUGAUCCCGUUGAAGCGGCCCAAGGCUACCCCAGCUUGAAGGAAGACGGGACAGAGUUCAGUGAAGAGGAUCACCGAGUGAUAAACCGGGAAGUGCGCCCUCUAGCUUGUCAAUUGGUUGAAGAGGCGGAUUUGUCCCACUAUCAAGCCCAAUAUGAUGAUCAAAACAAACGAGUGGCUGCGUCAAUUCCUGAAGUGGAGAACCUUAUACCUCCAAUCCAUAAGCAUACUUACGCCCCCUGA